CCCCCCCAUCCCCCGGUCGCGCCUCCGUCCCAGGCGCUCCACCGGUGGGGGACGAUGCUUUGUGCUGCCGCUCGUCGGUGGGGGCGAGGCUUUGCGCUGCCACCCGCUGAAGACACGCCGCGCCGGACGGUGAAUGGGCCCCAAGCUGCGAGGCCGUCGAUGGCCCCCCACGUUGAUGAACCCCCAAGUCGCGAAGCUCCGAUGUUCCCAAGAUCCAGCCACGUUUCCUCCAUCUGUAGUUGCCGCACAUGGUACAGCGAGGCUGCCUCCCCAAGCAAGUUCAUGGUGGCAUCCUCCUUGACGUGAAGAAAGCAAGGUAUACAAUGGGAGAAUCUCUCCAGGAAGGUCACCAAAAGAAAGCAAGGUAUUGAGUUUCUUCUCUUCUAGCAGUUCACAUGACAAAUCCAGUAAAUCUGUCGUAUCUCUGAACUCCUAUCAGAUGUAUUUCAAAUUGCAGUAACCAAUUGAUAGUUAUGAUGAAUUUUGUGAUAGGCUGAUAGUGAGAUAGGGUACUAGACUAAUGCCAGUGCUUGCUCUACCUAGCUGGUGAUUAUUUUCCUCAAUAAAAUUAAACUGUGUCAUAUUUUAACAGAACAAUCAGAUUGUCCAAAACUUGAAGUAUUAUGGUGAUAUAGCGUCGACUAGCAUAUAUUUGUGUGAUGCUUUCAUGCUACAGGUGUAUGGUACUUGAUAGAUUUAAUAAGUGCAAUACUACUGUCAUUUGCCCAGUGAUGAAUUACAGUUAAGUUGUGAGGGCUAUUUCUUACAAUGUUGCCUUAUGCUAUUUUGUAUUAGUUAUGUACUAUGAUAGUUGCAUUAGACUUGCCAAAUUUCUAGAUUAUGUGUCACAUGGAAAAUACUGCCUCUUGUUGUAGAGCAUUCUGUGGACCAAACAACGAGCUCAAGUUUUUUUGUUGUAGAACAAUCGGAUUGCUUGCUCAUUUGGAAUUUUUUUUGUAGGUGAGGAUAUGUGUACAGGCAGUUCAAUGUUUGUCAAUGUUUGUUUACUUUAGUAAGAUUGCCUUAAGUGUAGUACUGUAACUUCACAAGUAAGAUUGUUUACUUUAGUAAGCAGUUCAAUGCUUGAGGUUGACUCUGCAGUAAUAUAACAACAACAACGUCUUGCUGUAUACCAUUAUGUGGAGUAAACAAUGAGCUGAAGUUUCUGACUGCAGGCAAGUUGUUGGCACCAAGCUGUUGUUAGGAUUGAUCUCCGUCGGAUUUGGCCCAACGGCCCUGAUUCUCAAUCAGCGCCUUGAUCGGGGGCGCCCCAACCAUAUAUGGUUGGUGGAGCUUCCCGCCGCUGCAGCGCCUCUUGCAGAUCGGAUGCUAGGGUUUUAGUGUCGGUGGGAUUGUGGCACGGCGAACGUUGGUUCGUGUGCCCUGGCCCCCAUGUCCUUUUAUAAGGCGCUGCGCGACGGGGGGUCCACCAACCAUAUAUGGUUGGGGCGCCGCCAAUCAGGGCGCUGAUUGAGAAUCAGGGUCGGAUUUGGUUGUUGGGGCCAAAUCCGGCGGAGAUCAAUCCUAAUAUUCUUCCCCUUGAUCUCGCUUCAUACUCGUACUUGACCUUAAACUUAGCUUGGUACCCAUUUCAUUACAGAUCAGUAUAUAGAGCAUGUCUCGUCAUAAUAGCCAGUUAUGUACUAUCAGAUUUGAUAGCUACAACACACUUUUCUGUUUUGAAACAGAUUCUUCUUCUAGGCCCUUAGUAUCCAGGUAUCAUAGGCUUUUCUGUAAAUCCAUGCCGGCUAAGUGUUCUCUGAACACAUUGGGCGGUAAGCCUUUUGUGAGCGGAUCCGCGAGCAUUUUUGUUGUUCUUAUAUGCUCUAAACUUAUGGUAUGAUCCUGGAUUCUGUCUUUCACAUUAUAAAACUUAAUGUCAAUGUGUUUGGCAGCACCACUUGACUUACUAUUAUGAGUGUAGAAUACUGUUGGCUCAUUGUCACAGUACAUCUUUAGUGGUUUCUGAAUGUUGUCUACCACUCUUAACCCGGGUACAAACUUCUUUAACUAGUUUGCCUACCCCGUGGCCUCAUAGCAUGCUACAAACUCGGCAAACAUCGUGGAGGAUGCCGUAAUAGUUUGCUUGGAGCUUUUCCACGAUACAGCUCCACCUGCGAGAGUGAAUACAUAACCUGACGUGGAUUUUCUAUCAUCUACAUCUCCUGCAAAAUCAGCAUCUGAAUACUCUUCUAUUUCAAGGGAAUCAGUCCUUCUAUACGUUAACAUGAGGCCUUUCGUCCCUUGCGUAUAACGCAAUGCCUUCUUCACCAUUUUCCAGUGAUCUAUUCCUGGAUUGUCUUGGUAUCUGCCAAGUACCCCGGUAACAAGAUCUAAGUCAGGGCACGUACAUACUUGAGCAUACAUCAAACUUCUGACAGCUGAAGAUAUGGAACCGCUUUCAUUUGAUCGAUCUCAUACUGGUUCCUGGGACUCUGAAAACUCUUAAAUUUGUCGCCCUUGACUAUGGGAGCAGGCGUAGGUCUACUCGCAUGCAUACUAUACUUCUUGAGAAUUUUCUCUAAGUAUGCCUUUUGCGAUAAUUCUAAUACCCCCUUUCUUCUAUCUCGGUGAAUCUCGAUUCCUAAAACGAAAGAGGCUUCACCAAGAUCUUUCAUAUCGAAGUUUGAGGAUAGGAAUUUCUUCAUCUCCAAUAGUAGACUAACAUCACUACUAGCAAGUAGGAUGUCAUCUACAUAUAGGAUAAGGAAAAUGAAUUUCCCAUUCUUAAACUUUGCAUAUACGCAAUUGUCUUCCUGAUUUUUACUGAACCCAAACUUUCUUAUUGUCUCAUGGAACUUCAAGUACCACUGCUUGGAGGUUUGUUUUAAUCCAUAAAUGGAUUUCUUCAGAUGGCAUCCCAUGUGUUCUUUUCCUUCCACGACAAAACCUUUGGGUUGUGCCAUGUAAAUGUUUUCUUCUAGGUCUCCAUUGAGAAAAGCCGUCUUUACAUCCAUCUGAUGUAACUCUAAAUCGUAGUGUGCCACUAAAGCCAUUAUGAUUCUAAAAGAAUCCUUACAUGAGACUGGAGAAAAGGUCUCAUUAUAGUCUAUUCCUUCUCUUUGUGUGAAACCUUUCGCAACAAGUCGUGCUUUAUAUCUUUCGACAUUCUCUUUGGAGAUCACAUUUUGUUUUGUAGACCUAUUUGCAGCCUACUGUCUUGGCUCCUUUAGAAAUUUCUUCUAGAUCCCAAACUUUGUUGCUACUCAUGGAUCUCAUUUCAUCUUCCAUGGCUUCAAGCCACUUCGAUGAGUGAGCACUUCUCAUAGCUUGUUCAAAUGAUGUGGGAUCUUCCUCCAUUUGAACUUCUUCACUGACAUAGACUUCAUAGUCAUCAGGAAUAGCUGGUUUUCUAAUUCUUUGAGACCUUCUAGGGGCCUCAACAACUGGCACAUCUUCCAUGGGGGGCUGUUGUAGCUCUUCCUCAUGUGCGGCAACAAGUUCUAUAGGAUCCUGAAGGACAGGUUCCUCAUGUUCAUGUGUCAUUGUCGUAUGAGAACUAACAACAGGUGCUGACACUACAGUAUCCUGUACUGUCGGUGUAGUAGCAGCAGGUACCACAGGAGAACUAACAGCAGGUGCUGUUACCACCGUGUCUUGCACUGUUGGUGUAACAACAACCGGUGUCAAGAAAAAAGGUUCCUGAACCAUCGGAAUGGGUACAUACACCCGUUUCUCCUCAAGGUUGAUUUCUCGGGGUACCAUGCUCCCCCUGAUCAUCUUAUCCUCUAGAAACACAGCGUGUCUCAUUUCUACAAACUUGGUAUAUCUGUCAGGAUAGUAGAAACGAUAACCUUUUGACUUCUCAGGGUAGCCAAUGAAAUGGCAACUAACUUUCUUAGGAUCUAACUUCCCAAUAUUUGGAUUAAAGACUUUAGCCUCAGCCAGACAACCCCAUACACGCAAAUAAUUAAGUGAGGGUUCUCGUCCAGUCCAUAACUCAUAUGGUGUUUGAGACACCGACUUACUAGGGACCCGAUUAAGGACAUGAAUGGCGGUUUUUAAUGCCUCCAUCCACAAACUAACCGGUACAGUGGAGUAACUUAUCAUGCUUCUCACCAUAUCCAUUAAGGUACGGUUACGUCUUUCAGCUACUCCAUUCUGCUGAGGCUCGCCUGGUGUAGAAUACUGGGCAACUAUGCCAUUUUCCUACAAAAAUCUUGCAAAAGGUCUAGGAGCUUGGCCAUAUGGGGUAUGUCGACCGUAGUACUUCCCCCCACGAUCGGAUCUGACUAUUUUAAUAUUUAAGUUAUGCUGAUUUUUUACUUCAGCCUUAAAUAUCUUGAAUUUAUCCAACGCUUCUGAAUGCUCUUUAAUUGGAUAAAUAUAACCAUAACGUGAGUAAUCAUCUGUGAAUGUUAUGAAAGAAUCAUAACCAUCCAUAGAUGUCACAGGAAAUGGACCACAGAUAUCUGUGUGAAUUAUUUCUAAAACUCCUAUGCUUCUCUUGGCGUCUUUCUUAAUUUUCUUAAUGAAUUUUCCCUUAAUGCAAUCGAUGCAUUGCUCUAAAUUGGAAAAUUCUAAGGGUGGAAGAAUUGAUUCCUUAACUAAUCGUUCUAUUCUCUCCCUCAAAAUAUGUCCUAAACGACAGUGCCAUAAUUUCGAUGAUACAUCAUCAAUUCUUUUCCACUUAUUCUUUACAUUCAUAGAUGAGGAGGCAUUCACAUUCUUAGUGCUUCCAGCAUUCACAUUCUCACAAAGUGAUAAUAAAUAAAGCUCGUCUUGUCGGAAGGCAAGACCAACAAUCUCAUUAUUAAACUUGAUUUUACAUUGUCCAUCACCAAAAUGACAAGAAAAACCAUCAUCGUCUAAGCGCGACACACUUAUUAAGUUUCUACACAAAGAGGGUACAAAAAGAACAUCUCUCAAGUGAAGUAUAAAGCCAUUGGCUAAUUCUAAUGGAAGUUCUCCAACGGCUUCGACUUCAGCUUGGACGCCAUUUGCAACUUUAAUGCUUCUUUCUCCUCUUUGCAGGAUCCUCCUCGUAUGGAAUCCCUGUAAUGAAUUUACAACAUGAAUAGUUGCACCUGAGUUAAUCCACCAAGUAGAUUUUUCAUAACUUAAAUACAAAGAUUCAUCUACAAAUGUAAUAAUAUCCUCACCUUUUUUCAUCAGGUGCUUCAGGAACUCUGGACAAUCCUUCUGAUAGUGUCCCUUCUUCUUGCACCACUUGCAAGUGUCCUUGUCCACCACCACUUCAUGGUUUGAUCUUUGAUGGUGAUCUUUCAUUGGAGCAUUUCCAUGUGCCUUGGAAGAAGAGGCAUUCCACUGAGGUUUCCCUUGUGGCUUAGAAUUCUGAAAAUUCCUCUUCUUGUUUUGGCUCAGAUAAUUUAUAGUAUCACCGGAUGAGCCCUUAAGCCUCUCUUCUUCUUGGACGCACAUAGCUAUCAUCUUUUCAACACCCCACUUUUCUGGUUGCGAGUUGUAAUUCACAGCAAAAGCUUCAAAUUCUUUUGGUAGUGAGGUGAAGAUCAGAUGAACUAUGAAGGCUUCUGGAAGCUCCAUCUCCAUAGACUUUAUCUUAGAAGACAUAUUGCUCAUUCGCAAUAUAUGUUCCCUUACACCGCCACCAGUGUACUUCGCAGUAACAAGCUUUCUUAUGAGGGUGCUUGCAUAUACUUUUGAAGAGCCAGUAAACUGACUCUCCACUUUUGUCAGGUACUUAGUGGCGGUCUUACAUUCUGGGAUUGCUCCCCUAAUUGCUUCUGUGAUGGAGCUUUUGAUCACCAUCAGGUACUUUCUGUUGGACGAGUCCCACUUCGCACGAUCGAGAUCAUACUGCAUUCUUAUUGGUGCAUGGUCGCGCACCCUUUUGUCAAAAUCCUUACUUUCAUUUUCGACCCUCACGGGGUCCCCAAGUUCUAUGGGACAGGGAGCAGUCAGUGCUAAAUCAAUGUCGGAUAGCGCAAGCGCUAUCUCGACCUUCUCUCACCAUGAGCCGUAGUUCCCUCCUGUGAGGGGCUCGAUGGACGAGAUAAAGCUCAUAGGAUUGCCGUCGUCCCCCUCUGGUCUGCCCUACACUUCACCCCUCUCCUACCCCGACAACGCCCAAUGGCGUCCUCGACAACCACACCACUCAAGACCGACGGUCGGUGUCUCUUACUCUUUCUCUAGGAUGUCACUGUGUAGAUCUAGGACAUCAUGUUGUUUAUCUAAAUCAAGUAGUAGACCCGCUAGAUUAGCACUUAGAAGUUCCUGUUAAUGCUAUCAGCUGUUUGCCAAGAAGGGCUCAGGUCGACAUUUUCUACCUCAAGGUAGCAUCUAAAAUCCAAGCCUUUAUUUAGCAUCUGGUGUAUUAUGUGAUGUGUUAAGUGGAGUGGUUUCGCUAUCUCUUACACAUAUUGUGCAUGACAGGUUUGGAGGUUUUACUGAAAAUGUUUGAUUGAAGUCGUCGGUUUCCAGCAGGUAGAGUGUCUAGAAUAGUUUCUGUUGUUUAUGUAUAGUUGAUUCUUCUGUCAGAUUCAUGUGUACUAAGAUUAUCGUGGCCAAACGUUUCGAUUGUCAUGAUUGUAUAUAUGCUAUAAUGUAAUGAUAGAUGUGUUCUGGUUGACUUGAUAAAGUCAUUUGAGUCAACUCUGGUGUAUUUGAGAAACAUAUUUAAAUGGUAUUUGUAUUAUUGAAA
Molecule: RNA transcript, 6622 nt
Organism: Setaria italica (foxtail millet)
Lineage: Eukaryota; Viridiplantae; Streptophyta; Magnoliopsida; Poales; Poaceae
Exons: 2
Source: RefSeq, a predicted model, not a curated record